UACGAAGGGGGCUAGCGUUGUUCGGAUUUACUGGGCGUAAAGCGCACGUAGGCGGAUCGAUCAGUCAGGGGUGAAAUCCCAGAGCUCAACUCUGGAACUGCCUUUGAUACUGUCGAUCUGGAGUAUGGAAGAGGUGAGUGGAAUAGCCAGUGUAGAGGUGAAAUUCGUAGAUAUUGGCUGGAACACCGGUGGCGAAAGCGGCUCUCUGGCCCGGUUCUGACGCUGAGGCGCGAAAGCGUGGGGAGCAAACAGG
RNAcentral lists this ribosomal RNA (253 nucleotides) under uncultured bacterium. Its description in RNAcentral is "partial 16S ribosomal RNA". It matches the Rfam family "Bacterial small subunit ribosomal RNA", at positions 524 to 776 of the family's 1533-position model. The record is from RNAcentral.